Molecule: ribosomal RNA, 462 nt
Filed under: uncultured bacterium
Lineage: Bacteria
Description: partial 16S ribosomal RNA
Rfam family: Bacterial small subunit ribosomal RNA
Source: RNAcentral
GACGAACGCUGGCGGCGUGCUUAACACAUGCAAGUCGAGCGGUAAGGCCUUUCGGGGUACACGAGCGGCGAACGGGUGAGUAACACGUGGGUGAUCUGCCCUGCACUUCGGGAUAAGCCUGGGAAACUGGGUCUAAUACCGGAUAUGACCUCCUAUCGCAUGGUGGGUGGGGGGAAGAUUUAUUGGUGCGGGAUGGGCCCGCGGCCUAUCAGCUUGUUGGUGGGGUAGUGGCCUACCAAGGCGACGACGGGUAGCCGACCUGAGAGGGUGACCGGCCACACUGGGACUGAGACACGGCCCAGACUCCUACGGGAGGCAGCAGUGGGGAAUAUUGCACAAUGGGCGAAAGCCUGAUGCAGCGACGCCGCGUGAGGGAUGACGGCCUUCGGGUUGUAAACCUCUUUCAGCAGGGACGAAGCGCAAGUGACGGUACCUGCAGAAGAAGCACCGGCUAACUACGUG